AGUCCAUUUCGGUGGAUAAGUAAAGUGGCGACCGGGUGAGUAACGCGUGAGUAACUUACCUCUUGGUUUGGAAUAACAUUUCGAAAGGGAUGCUAAUACCGGAUAUUAUAUUGUUUCACAAGAAAUAAUUAUGAAAGAAGGCCUCUACUUGUAAGCUUUCGCCAUGAGAAAGGCUCGCGUACCAUUAGCUUGUUGGUGGGGUAAUGGCCUACCAAGGCGACGAUGGUUAGCCGGCCUGAGAGGGUGAACGGCCACACUGGAACUGAAACACGGUCCAGACUCCUACGGGAGGCAGCAGUGAGGAAUAUUGCGCAAUGGGGGAAACCCUGACGCAGCAACGCCGCGUGAGUGAUGAAGGCUCUUGGGUUGUAAAGCUCUGUCAGAUGGGAAGAAAACCUAAGAUAAUAAUACUGUCUUAGCUUGACGGUACCAUCAGAGGAAGCCCCGGCUAACUCCGUGCCAGCAGCCGCGGUAAUACGGAGGGGGCGAGCGUUGUUCGGAUUUAUUGGGCGUAAAGGGCGCGUAGGUGGCUACAUAAGUUAGACGUGAAAACUCUAGGCUUAACCAAGAGACUGCGUCUAAUACUGUGUGGCUUGAGUGCAGGAGAGGAGAGUGGAAUUCCCAGUGUAGCGGUGAAAUGCGUAGAUAUUGGGAGGAACAUCAGUGGCGAAGGCGGCUCUCUGGACUGACACUGACACUGAGGCGCGAAAGCUAGGGGAGCAAACAGGAUUAGAUACCCUGGUAGUCCUAGCCGUAAACGAUGGGCACUAGGUGUAGAAGGUAUCGACCCCUUCUGUGCCGAAGCUAACGCAUUAAGUGCCCCGCCUGGGGGAGUACGGU
Molecule: ribosomal RNA, 840 nt
Filed under: uncultured bacterium
Lineage: Bacteria
Description: bacterial SSU rRNA
Rfam family: Bacterial small subunit ribosomal RNA
Source: RNAcentral